GCUUGUCUCAAAGAUUAAGCCAUGCAUGUCUAAGUACAAGCCUAACUAAGGUGAAACCGCGAAUGGCUCAUUAAAUCACACCUAAUCUACUGGAAUGUUAGCAGUUACUUGGAUAACUGAGGUAAUUCUUGAGCUAAUACAUGCGAAAAAUCUCGACUCACGGAGAGAUGCUUUUAUUAGAUCAAAACCAAACAGAUUCGUCUGUAUAUUUGGUGACUCGGAAUAACUUUGGGCUGAUCGCAUUGCCUUGUGCAGGCGACGUUUCCUUCGAAGGUGUGCCCUAUCAACUGUCGACUGUGAUAUAGACGCUCACAGUGGUUUUGACGGGUAACGGGGAAUCAGGGUUCGAUUCCGGAGAGGGAGCCUUAAAAACGGCUACCACAUCCAAGGAAGGCAGCAGG
Molecule: ribosomal RNA, 401 nt
Filed under: Temora longicornis
Lineage: Eukaryota; Metazoa; Arthropoda; Copepoda; Calanoida; Temoridae
Description: partial small subunit ribosomal RNA
Rfam family: Eukaryotic small subunit ribosomal RNA
Source: RNAcentral